GCCCCAAAGCCUUAGAAAUUGCAGUGCCCCACUGACUACCAACCCAGAAACCAGUCCAACUCUCAUUGCCUUCAUCUUAGAGAGCAAUCCUUAAGGAUAAAAGACCUGAUAACUGCUCCUGUGGUACCCACCCGCCUUCAAUAUCCAAAACUUCCAAUGAUCCCCAAAAGAAAGUUCUCUUCACUAAAAUCUUUGGCACUUUCAAAUGAUGUAGCAUAAAAAAAUAAAGAGGAUUUUAUUAAUGGGAAUGACACUAUAGGAAAUAUAUUGCCAUCUGCCCUGCUGCUAUACCCUAAGGACCAUAGGGCCUUUCCAUUUGAUUUGUAGCUGAAUCUUUCCACAUAUAUUCUUUCCCCUAUUAGGAUAAUUUAUCCUUGAGAACAGGGCAUUACUGUUUCACCUUACUGUUUGUAUCUCUAGCAUUGAGCCCAUGUUUUGUUCAUAGUAAGUGCUUAAUAGAUGCUUAAUCCUUCCUUCCCUAUCAGCUCUUGUGCAUUUGAAUCCUUCUGGGAGACCAACUCAGGAUAGAGAAUUAGUUCCAGAUUAUCUCUCUCCCUCCACCCAUUGAGAAGGCAAAAAAAAAAUGCAAAACCAUUACAAAUAUGAAGUCAGGCAAAAACAAAUUAUUCAUGUUCUGAAGAAAAAAAGGAAGGACAGAGGGUAGUAAAGAAGGAAGUAAAAGAGAAAGAAAGAGCAAGCAAAAGCAAGAAAGAAAGAGAAAGAAAAGAACCAUGCGUCUCUCUGCACUCUGAUUCACCAUUUCCCUAUCUGGAGUGUGUGUUUCGGCAUGAGAAAUUAAAUGGGAACUUUUGAGGAGUUUUGCAGAAGCUACAGAUGAUUCGAAGAGACCAGCAGGCCAUCCAGAAAAAAGUAUGGAAACUCAGAAAUGCAUAAAAUAUAGGUAUAGUAUUAUAUUUUGCACAAUUAUUUUAUUUUAUCUUUUAAUACCAUAAAUAUACACAAUGGCUUUUUUAAAGUGAAAUUGUUUAAAAAUUUGUGAAAAGAAUGUGAAAGCCAGCAGGCUAGAAAUGGUAGCAUUGGCCUACCCAUAGCCUAUGACCAAGUGCUUAAACCAAAUUUUACAAUACAGUACUGUAAACAUCCCAUAAAAGAAAAAGAAAAACAUCUGACUUCUUCUUUGGUACAAAGGGAGGCUCAAAAAUGUUUCCUCAGAUUUUCCAGAUCACAGGAGCAUCCUCACUCUU
This 1205-nucleotide long non-coding RNA is filed under the name Monodelphis domestica (gray short-tailed opossum). RNAcentral describes it as "lncRNA (ENSMODG00000040179.1)". Lineage: Eukaryota; Metazoa; Chordata; Mammalia; Didelphimorphia; Didelphidae. The record is from RNAcentral.